Monopterus albus (swamp eel) is the source of this 263-nucleotide long non-coding RNA. RefSeq lists it as uncharacterized. The transcript is spliced from 3 exons. NCBI's taxonomy places the organism in Eukaryota, Metazoa, Chordata, Actinopteri, Synbranchiformes, Synbranchidae. The record is from RefSeq and is a predicted model, not a curated record.
ACAAUUCAGCUGAGAAAUGAAUUGUGGACAUUGUGAAAUAUGUUGUAUUAAGUUCUUAUUGCUGUGGUUAGCUCCUCAAAGCUUGAUGGUGAGUGACCCAGCAGAGGAUGACAUCGGCAGUAAGGCCUUUUCUUUGGGAUGUGCCACCAGUAAUUCAGACUAUUUCAACAUGUGGCAAUCCUUAACCAGAUGUCACUCUGUGGCCAGACGAUCACUGCAGCAUUCUUAAGGACAUGCAUAGAGGCAAGCGAGUUGGUUUAUAA